Non-coding RNA from Myotis lucifugus (little brown bat), 75 nucleotides. Lineage: Eukaryota; Metazoa; Chordata; Mammalia; Chiroptera; Vespertilionidae. The record is from Rfam.
GGCGGUCCUUAGGUGAUGCACCCCGUAAUCGGGCUCCCUCCUCUCUGGUUCCAGGUGUAUCACCUGAGAACCGCA